AAUUAUGGAAUGUUAUUUGCGAAAAUGGUUACUAAACUUCAUUUCAUUUUUUAUGAUUUAGUUGUCUUUGGUUUGUGGGUAUAUAAAAAUAUUUCAUAUAAAAUUCAGUGCAUAUUUUAUAUUCGUUAGUAAUAUGAAAUAAAAGUCAUAAACUUAAAAAAUAAAAAGUUAACGUAAAAUUUGCAAGUGCCCGAUAAAUAAUAUAAAGCUAUUUAUUAAUAAGUUAAAAAAGCUACUGAGUUAGGUCACUUACUAAUUCUCCAAGAAAACUGAUGUAUCCGAUCGCAAGCUUCAAGGUAUCGACUUUGGACAGACGUUUCUCAUAAGGCAAUGUUGGAAUGUGUGCUCUUAAACCUUCAAAAGCGUCAUUAAUGGAUUGCAUUCGACGUCUUUCCCGAAGAUUCGCGGCUUGCCUCUGUUGGAUUUGUUGCUGCGGACAACGCGAGCGUCGCUUGUGAACGCGCCGGUAUUCUGAUCUAAAUAAAAAUGAAAUUAAGCUUUGAUUCUUUGCAAAUAUUAUCCUAGUUUCAUUGGAGCGAAAUAAAGAUCGAAUAAUGCACUAAUAAUGUAAUGUAGGUACUUUAAUGCAGAGCCAACCAUUUAAAGUUCUCGAGACUCUCCGGUUGUAAGUAAAUAUUUUGUAUUACGAUGCACUUUGUUUACGUAUUAAGAUUCUGAAUUAGAUGGGUAGAUUUGAUUUAAUCUGCAUUUGAUUAAAUAAAUUUCAAAUGGUACACGAUUAUUUUUCAAACAUUCUUAAACAUACAAAUAAACUAUGCUUCGUUUAAAAGAUUAGGUUGUAUAAUCAAGUAUUUACUCACUCAAAAAAUAUUUCAUAAAACAAUAAGCUAUAAUUGAACACAAAAAUAUUCGCUGUAAUGCAAAUGAUAUUCUACAGUUUUUUUUUUACGAGAUUACAUAAAAAUCAAACAAGAAAA
This is a long non-coding RNA of Bombyx mori (domestic silkworm), 938 nucleotides long. RefSeq lists it as uncharacterized. Lineage: Eukaryota; Metazoa; Arthropoda; Insecta; Lepidoptera; Bombycidae. The record is from RefSeq and is a predicted model, not a curated record. The transcript has 2 exons.